GAAAAUCUUUGAAACCAGGAGCCACGAUAAAAUUUGAUUCAGCAAGAAAAACAACGCAUGUUCCCAGAAAUGUAGCAUAUGCUGAGUUUUUUUUAUAAUGCCAACGUGUGAUUGCUACAGGUUUCCACAGAACACUGGGGAAGUCAACCAAGGCAAAUGGCACUAAGCUGGAUAAAAGUCGCCAUGACUUCGCGGAACCAUGUGAUUUACAUGGUGGAACCAUGUAACUACAGGGGUAUGGUGAGUUUCUGACUCAUCCAUCUCUGCCUGCUGGUCCAUCUGAGCUGUGGACUAAGAGUGGACCUCUCCCCUGCCCCAUGGCAAGCACGUGGACUUCAGAAAGGCAAAAGAUGUAGCGCUGUGAUUCAGAAAUGGUGAAAUAAAAUCAACAGGAUCGCCA
Molecule: long non-coding RNA, 400 nt
Filed under: Rattus norvegicus (Norway rat)
Lineage: Eukaryota; Metazoa; Chordata; Mammalia; Rodentia; Muridae
Description: long non-coding RNA NONRATT000040
Source: RNAcentral